This 569-nucleotide small RNA is filed under the name Pongo abelii (Sumatran orangutan). RNAcentral's name for it is "processed transcript". The record is from RNAcentral. Lineage: Eukaryota; Metazoa; Chordata; Mammalia; Primates; Hominidae.
AUACGAAAGAUGUAGUAGGGAAAAGCAGCGACAGCUGGCUAAAGGGGCCCCCCACAACCCUCCCCGACACCCUAGGAAAGCAGCCUCUCUCCGCUGUCCCAGGGUGCCAUGGAUAUGGAGAGCGCGGCGGCCUCCACAGGUUUCCACCAGCCUCACAUGGAGAGGAAGAUGAGUGCGAUGGCCUGUGAGAUCUUCAACGAGCUUAGACUAGAGGGCAAGCUCUGCGACGUGGUCAUCAAGAGCUUUGUUUACAAGUGGCUGGAACAACACUGAAAAGAAGGUAUACAACAUCCCUGGCAUUUCUCCCGACAUGAUGAAGCUAAUCAUUGAGUAUGCAUACACCCGGACCGUGCCUAUCACACCAGACAAUGUGGAGAAACUGCUUGCUGCUGCAGACCAGUUUAACAUCAUGGGUAUCGUCAGGGGUUGCUGCGAGUUCCUCAAGUCAGAGCUGUGCUUGGAUAAUUGUAUUGGCAUCUGUAAGUUCACGGACUACUACUACUGUCCUGAGCUGAGGCAGAAGGCCUACAUGUUCAUACUGCACAACUUCGAGGAGAUGGUGAAAGUCU